Non-coding RNA from Caenorhabditis elegans, 74 nucleotides. The record is from Ensembl. NCBI's taxonomy places the organism in Eukaryota, Metazoa, Nematoda, Chromadorea, Rhabditida, Rhabditidae.
UUAGGCUUAGUCUUAGGUUUAGGCUUAGGCUUAGGCUUCGACUUAGACAAAGGCUUAGGCUUAGGCUCAGGCUU